Long non-coding RNA from Lethenteron reissneri (Far Eastern brook lamprey), 468 nucleotides. RefSeq lists it as uncharacterized. The record is from RefSeq and is a predicted model, not a curated record. Lineage: Eukaryota; Metazoa; Chordata; Hyperoartia; Petromyzontiformes; Petromyzontidae.
UUUAACAAGCCCCCUGCCGAUGAGCCUCACAAGAUCAAAACGAGUCGAGUGUUUUGUUUCAAUGCGGAUGAGUUAAUAUUGGUUCGAUGAAAGUCGAUAGGCCGAUGGCUAAUACGUAAGGUGCGUGACGUCAUUUAUGGACGGCUCCAAAAACACAACUUUGCGUCUUCCCCGUUGUGUUCGUGGAACUCGCCUUCUCGUGGACACCGUCUUGUGCCCCGCCGCAUCCUACGUUCGGGCUGGCGCCGAGCUCACGCGGUUGGACUACACAGUCAAGUUCGCAUCCCGGACCAGGCGAGGGGGUGCGGGAUCGACCGGGCCUGCUAUUUCUCCGCUAGUCGAUGGAAUGAAGUCGGUAGAAAUGUUUUUGUCUGGAAUGUUGACUCUCAAUGGAAAGAAUUCGCGUGAUGUCGUAGGAAUAUGUUUUUUUUUGUUACACACCACUGAUCCCAGCUUUUCCGACGAGGA